This 496-nucleotide ribosomal RNA is filed under the name uncultured bacterium. RNAcentral describes it as "partial 16S ribosomal RNA". It matches the Rfam family "Bacterial small subunit ribosomal RNA", at positions 28 to 506 of the family's 1533-position model. The record is from RNAcentral.
GAUGAACGCUGGCGGCGUGCCUAAUACAUGCAAGUCGAGCGAACGGACGAGAAGCUUGCUUCUCUGAUGUUAGCGGCGGACGGGUGAGUAACACGUGGAUAACCUACCUAUAAGACUGGGAUAACUUCGGGAAACCGGAGCUAAUACCGGAUAAUAUUUUGAACCGCAUGGUUCAAAAGUGAAAGACGGUCUUGCUGUCACUUAUAGAUGGAUCCGCGCUGCAUUAGCUAGUUGGUAAGGUAACGGCUUACCAAGGCAACGAUGCAUAGCCGACCUGAGAGGGUGAUCGGCCACACUGGAACUGAGACACGGUCCAGACUCCUACGGGAGGCAGCAGUAGGGAAUCUUCCGCAAUGGGCGAAAGCCUGACGGAGCAACGCCGCGUGAGUGAUGAAGGUCUUCGGAUCGUAAAACUCUGUUAUUAGGGAAGAACAUAUGUGUAAGUAACUGUGCACAUCUUGAAGGUACCUAAUCAGAAAGCCACGGCUAACUACGU